GGCACAAUAAGAUUCAAACACAAAACACGAAUACGAAGAAAAUGAGGAAGGCAACGACGGGAAUACUAACAUUAUUUUUGGUAUGUCUUCACCUUCAUGCAUCCUCAAAUCCUUCAAAAAUUGUCCAUGGUACUGGAACAUUGUUUAUCCCUUUCAUUUUUGUUCUUAUCUUGGUUACAAAGAUUCAAAAAACAUCUGAUAAGGUACAAUUUAUGUUAUGUAUCUUUAACAUUUGUCAGGAGGAGUGAACUAUGUUGAUAGACGUGGAGGAGGUGGCGGUCAUGGUGGUGGUGGUGGUGGUCAUGCCCAUGGUGGUGGUGGUGGUGGUGGUGGUGGUGAGGCUCAUAGUGUUGGUUCAAGAGGAGAAAGUGGAGGUGCAGGGCCUCUUGUUAUCCCUGUAUAUGCAGGGGGUACCCACCGGAGGACUGGAACCCACCAUGGUCGGAACAAUAGCAGUUGCGCUAUUCCCCAGUUGACUUCUACUAUAUUGGCCUUGUUCCUUUUAUUAUGUCUUUAGGAUCACUUCUUUACUAUGGCUGUGCAUUGUAGUUAAAAAAUCAAUAAAUAUUUUGAUUUAAGUUUUAGGGAUCUUCAUAUUUACUUUUUUUAAUUUAUAUAUAGAAAACACGCCCACACUGAUCACAUGAGUAACUUUAGGGAGAAGUCGUUCUUUUCUUUCUUGAAUAUGUAAAUGUGAGAGAACAAUAUUGUAAUAGACUAGUAGUUAAAUGAUACGUGUGUGGGAAUGAACAUCAUUACAUAAAUAUACAAUUUUUGUUUCACUGAGCAUUUGAUUAUUAAAGGCUUA
Molecule: long non-coding RNA, 808 nt
Filed under: Lactuca sativa (garden lettuce)
Lineage: Eukaryota; Viridiplantae; Streptophyta; Magnoliopsida; Asterales; Asteraceae
Description: long non-coding RNA (LSAT_LNC006391)
Source: RNAcentral